This 352-nucleotide unclassified non-coding RNA is filed under the name Hevea brasiliensis (rubber tree). The record is from RNAcentral. Lineage: Eukaryota; Viridiplantae; Streptophyta; Magnoliopsida; Malpighiales; Euphorbiaceae.
AAUUUUCGCUGGCAUGGGAGCUGUCAAAGCUUUGGGUCAGAAGUACCAUGCCUCUGGUAUGACCAAAUCAGCUGCAUCAGCAACAGGAAGAACAGCUGCAGCAGCAGCAGCAAACACUGUGGUAAACAGUAGCUACUUCUCCAACUUAGAUACAGCGUUUGAUACUGUAUAUCAUAUGUAGUGUGUAACUAGUUGAUAGUUUUUCUACUUUUGUAUAGCACUUGCUGGUUUUUUCACUUCCUUUGCCAGUAUAGCAUUUCUGUUCUGGGUUGUGUUUUGAGCUCAAUGUCACCUCUAAAGAUGUUUUUAGGCUAUGAAUUUAAAUAUCAGGCCGGGCCUUGCAAUUGAAAAA